RNAcentral lists this ribosomal RNA (407 nucleotides) under uncultured bacterium. RNAcentral describes it as "partial 16S ribosomal RNA". It matches the Rfam family "Bacterial small subunit ribosomal RNA", at positions 28 to 526 of the family's 1533-position model. The record is from RNAcentral.
GACGAACGCUGGCGGCGUGCCUAAUACAUGCAAGUAGAACGCAGUUGCGAACGGGUGAGUACCGCGUAGGUCACUGCCUGGUAGCGGGGGAUAACUAUUGGAAACGAUAGCUAAUACCGCAUACUACCAGAUGGACCUGCGUUUUAUUAGCUAGUUUGUGAGGUAACGGCUCACCAAGGCAACGAUACAGAGCCGACCUGAGAGGGUGAUCGGCCACCUGGGGACGGAGACACGGCCCAGACGCCUACGGGAGUCAGCAGUAGGGAUGCGUCGGCAAUGGGGGGAACCCUGACCAAGCAACGCCGCGUGAGUGAAGAAGGUUUUCGGAUCGUAAAGCUCUGUUGUUAAGGAAGCGGUACUUAACCAGAAAGGGACGGCUAACUACGUGCCAGCAGCCGCGGUAAUUC